CGCUGGCGGCGUGCCUAAUACAUGCAAGUCGAACGGUCUUUCUAUGGAAGCUUGCUUCCACUGAGAAGAUAGUGGCGAACGGGUGAGUAACACGUGGGUAACCUGCCCAUAAGAGGGGGGAUAACAUCCGGAAACGGGUGCUAAUACCGCAUAGUUUUCUUGAUUGCAUGAUUGAGAAAGGAAAGACGGCCUUUGUGCUGUCGCUUAUGGAUGGACCCGCGGCGUAUUAGUUAGUUGGUGAGGUAACGGCUCACCAAGACGAUGAUACGUAGCCGACCUGAGAGGGUGAUCGGCCACAUUGGGACUGAGACACGGCCCAAACUCCUACGGGAGGCAGCAGUAGGGAAUCUUCCGCAAUGGACGAAAGUCUGACGGAGCAACGCCGCGUGAGUGAAGAAAAGGGUUUUCGGAUCGUAAAACUCUGUUGUCAGAGAAGAACAAGUUGGAGAGUAACUGCUCCAGCCUUGACGGUAUCUGACCAGAAAGCCACGGCUAACUACGUGCCAGCAGCCGC
Molecule: ribosomal RNA, 514 nt
Filed under: uncultured bacterium
Lineage: Bacteria
Description: bacterial SSU rRNA
Rfam family: Bacterial small subunit ribosomal RNA
Source: RNAcentral